UGCCUUUCAUUGCUAAAUAGUGAAACUGACUCUUUGUUCAGUUCUCAAUCUGAGCUAGGAUCCAUCCCAUUUUUGCCAGAUGGUUUGAAGAAUCUGCAGAAAUCUGCCAGUCUCUUUCCCCCUGCCCUUCUUGUAAGCAACUGCACCUGUCAGGUAUGAGUAGAAAGCCAACUGCCUCACCUAUCUUUUUUUUUUUUCUUCCCCAUCUCUCCUUAAGGCAGAAAAUCCUUUCUGGUAAACUCUUCUGCUCUAAAAAGUAACCGUCUUAAGAUUGCCACACAAAAAGUACAUAACAGAAGUAUUUGCCUCCUCUUAUGUCAGGCAUCUCACUUUGAACAUCAAGGAGUCUGUCUAGCAUGCAGAAGUGCCCAGAGGCUAUGAAUGAAACUGCUGAACAUUUCACAGAUACUGCAAGGGGCAAUUUCUGCCCCAUGCAGUUUACAGCAAAAAAUAAGCAAGACAGCCAAAAGCAGGAGGCAAUAACCAAGGGAGGGAUUUGGCAUGAAAUCUGCUGCAAGAACAUGCAAGUGCGGGAAGCAACAGAGAGCUCUGCUGCUGCAGAUUUCCGUCAGGGUUAG
RNAcentral lists this long non-coding RNA (578 nucleotides) under Anser brachyrhynchus (Pink-footed goose). RNAcentral's name for it is "lncRNA (ENSABRG00000015151.1)". The record is from RNAcentral. Lineage: Eukaryota; Metazoa; Chordata; Aves; Anseriformes; Anatidae.